UAGAGUUUGAUCAUGGCUCAGGAUGAACGCUGGCGGCGUGCUUAACACAUGCAAGUCGAACGAACCUUCGGGUUAGUGGCGGACGUGUGAGUAACGCGUGGGAAUCUGCCCUCAGGAGGGGGAUAACGGUUGGAAACGACCGCUAAUACCCCAUAUGCCGAGAGGUGAAAUGAAUUUCGCCUGAGGAUGAGCCCGCGUCUGAUUAGCUUGUUGGUGAGGUAAUGGCUCACCAAGGCAUCGAUCAGUAGCUGGUCUGAGAGGAUGAUCAGCCACACUGGGACUGAGACACGGCCCAGACUCCUACGGGAGGCAGCAGUGGGGAAUUUUCCGCAAUGGGCGAAAGCCUGACGGAGCAACGCCGCGUGAGGGACGAAGGCCUCUGGGCUGUAAACCUCUUUUCUCAAGGAAGAAGAUAUGAUGGUACUUGAGGAAUAAGCCACGGCUAAUUCCGUGCCAGCAGCCGCGGUAAUACGGGAGUGGCAAGCGUUAUCCGGAAUUAUUGGGCGUAAAGCGUCCGCAGGCGGCCCUUCAAGUCUGCUGUUAAAACGUGGAGCUUAACUCCAUCAUGGCAGUGGAAACUGAUUGGCUUGAGUAUGGUAGGGGCAGAGGGAAUUCCCGGUGUAGCGGUGAAAUGCGUAGAUACCGGGAAGAACACCAGUGGCGAAGGCGCUCUGCUGGGCCAUUACUGACGCUCAUGGACGAAAGCCAGGGGAGCGAAAGGGAUUAGAUACCCCUGUAGUCCUGGCCGUAAACGAUGAACACUAGGUGUCGGGGGAAUCGACCCCUUCGGUGUCGUAGCUAACGCGUUAAGUGUUCCGCCUGGGGAGUACGCACGCAAGUGUGAAACUCAAAGGAAUUGACGGGGGCCCGCACAAGCGGUGGAGUAUGUGGUUUAAUUCGAUGCAACGCGAAGAACCUUACCAGGGCUUGACAUCCUGCGAACCUUUAAGAAAUUAGAGGGUGCCUUCGGGAACGCAGUGACAGGCGGUGCAUGGCUGUCGUCAGCUCGUGUCGUGAGAUGUUGGGUUAAGUCCCGCAACGAGCGCAACCCACGUUUUUAGUUGCCAGCAUUUAGUUGGGCACUCUAGAAAGACCGCCGGUGAUAAACCGGAGGAAGGUGUGGAUGACGUCAAGUCAUCAUGCCCCUUACGUCCUGGGCUACACACGUACUACAAUGCUACGGACAAAGGGCAGCAAACUCGCGAGAGCUAGCAAAUCCCAUAAACCGUGGCUCAGUUCAGAUCGUAGGCUGCAACUCGCCUACGUGAAGUAGGAAUCGCUAGUAAUCGCAGGUCAGCAUACUGCGGUGAAUACGUUCCCGGGCCUUGUACACACCGCCCGUCACACCAUGGAAGUUGGCCAUGCCCGAAGUCGUUACUUUAACCCUUGUGGAGAAGGACGCCGAAGGUGGGGCUGAUGACUGGGGUGAAGUCGUAACAAGGUAACC
This 1447-nucleotide ribosomal RNA is filed under the name uncultured marine cyanobacterium. RNAcentral describes it as "bacterial SSU rRNA". It matches the Rfam family "Bacterial small subunit ribosomal RNA". The record is from RNAcentral. Lineage: Bacteria; Bacillati; Cyanobacteriota.